UGAAUACGAGACGCUAAGGCGUCGAAGUAGUGUAUGUCAUACUUCCAAGAAAAGCAUGCACUGUCAUAGAUAAAAAACGCCUGUACCAUAACCGACACAGGUGGGUAGGUAGAGUAUACUAAGGGGCGCGAGAUAACUCUCUCUAAGGAACUCGGCAAAAUAACUCCGUAACUUCGGGAGAAGGAGUGCCUUAUUCGUAAGGUUGCAAUAACAAGAUCCAAGCAACUGUUUAUCAAAAACACAGGUCUCCGCUAAGUCGUAAGACGAUGUAUGGGGGCUGACGCCUGCCCAGUGCCAGAAGGUUAAAGAAGUUGGUUAGCAAUUGCGAAGCUGAUAACUGAAGCCCUGGUGAACGGCGGCCGUAACGAUAACGAUCCUAAGGUAGCGAAAUUCCUUGUCGGGUAAGUUCCGACCCGCACGAAAGGCGUAAUGAUUUGGAUACUGUCUCGGAGAGGGGCUCGGUGAAAUAGACUUGUCUGUGAAGAUGCGGACUACCUGCACCAGGACAGAAAGACCCUAUGAAGCUUUACUGUAACUUGAAAUUGAAAUUGGACUUUAUUCGCGCAGUAUAGGUGGGAGGCGUUGAUUAUAAUCUUGUGGGAUUAUUGGGGCCAUCAGUGAGAUACCACUCUUGUAAUGUUAGAUUUCUAACUUUGAAUCAUUAUCUGGUCAAAGAACAGUUUCAGGCGGGCAGUUUGACUGGGGCGGUCGCCUCCUAAACGGUAACGGAGGCGUACAAAGGUUUCCUCUGAACGGUUAGAAAUCGUAUCUAGAGUGUAAAGGCAUAAGGAAGCUUGACUGUGAGACCUACAAGUCGAGCAGGGACGAAAGUCGGUCUUAGUGAUCUGACGGUACUGAGUGGAAAGGCCGUCACUCAACGGAUAAAAGUUACUCUAGGAUAACAGGCUGAUCUCCCCCAAGAGUUCACAUCGACGGGGAGGUUUGGCACCUCGAUGUCGGCUCAUCGCAUCCUGGGGCGGUAGUACGUCCCAAGGGUUGGGCUGUUCGCCCAUGAAAGCGGUACGCGAGCUGGGUUCAGAACGUCGUGAGACAGUUCGGUCCAUAUCCGGUGUAGGCGUUAGAAUAUUGAGAGGAGCCUUCUUUAGUACGAGAGGACCGAGAAGGACAUACCUCUGGUGUACCAGUUAUCGUGCCAACGGUAAACGCUGGGUAGCUAUGUAUGGAGUGGAUAACCGCUGAAAGCAUCUAAGUGGGAAGCCCACCUCAAGAUAAGUAUUCUCC
This 1242-nucleotide ribosomal RNA is filed under the name metagenome. RNAcentral's name for it is "bacterial LSU rRNA". It matches the Rfam family "Bacterial large subunit ribosomal RNA", at positions 1564 to 2816 of the family's 2925-position model. The record is from RNAcentral.